UACGUAGGGACCGAGCGUUGUCCGGAAUCAUUGGGCGUAAAGAGCGUGUAGGCGGCUGACCAAGUCCUGCGUGAAAUCUUGCGGCUCAACCGCAAGCGGUCGUGGGAAACUGGUCGGCUAGAGUGCGGGAGAGGAGAGUGGAAUUCCUGGUGUAGCGGUGAAAUGCGCAGAUAUCAGGAAGAACACCCGUGGCGAAGGCGGCUCUCUGGAUCCCUUCUGACGCUGAGGCGCGAAAGCCAGGGGAGCGAACGGG
Molecule: ribosomal RNA, 253 nt
Filed under: uncultured bacterium
Lineage: Bacteria
Description: partial 16S ribosomal RNA
Rfam family: Bacterial small subunit ribosomal RNA
Source: RNAcentral